ACGGGUCUAGCUCAGUUGGUAGAGCGCUGGUCUCCAAAACCAGGUGUCGGGAGUUCGAGUCUCUCGACCCGUG
This 73-nucleotide transfer RNA is filed under the name Proteiniphilum sp. RNAcentral describes it as "tRNA-Trp(cca)". It matches the Rfam family "tRNA". From Rfam's summary of the family: Transfer RNA (tRNA) molecules are approximately 80 nucleotides in length. Their secondary structure includes four short double-helical elements and three loops (D, anti-codon, and T loops). Further hydrogen bonds mediate the characteristic L-shaped molecular structure. tRNAs have two regions of fundamental functional importance: the anti-codon, which is responsible for specific mRNA codon recognition, and the 3' end, to which the tRNAs corresponding amino acid is attached (by aminoacyl-tRNA synthetases). tRNAs cope with the degeneracy of the genetic code in two manners: having more than one tRNA (with a specific anti-codon) for a particular amino acid; and 'wobble' base-pairing, i.e. permitting non-standard base-pairing at the 3rd anti-codon position. Lineage: Bacteria; Pseudomonadati; Bacteroidota; Bacteroidia; Bacteroidales; Dysgonomonadaceae. The record is from RNAcentral.